RNAcentral lists this long non-coding RNA (7378 nucleotides) under Gallus gallus (chicken). The record is from RNAcentral. Lineage: Eukaryota; Metazoa; Chordata; Aves; Galliformes; Phasianidae.
GUUUACCUCAGGGUUUACCUCAGCGGUCGGCUGCGGCGGGCGUGUGGGCAGGGCGAGGAUGCGUGACCGUUCGGUAGCAGGUGACACACCUGAUCGGUCACCGUGGGCCGGGAGACGGUGGCGACGGCUCCCAACCUCCUUCCGCGGCCGCGGGCCCUGCGCAGGAGGUGCCGCUCCGCCACAACAUGGCGGCUGCCGCCAAACCGGCCCGGUGCCACAAGAAGCUGCUGGUGUGGCUCAGGGCUGCGCGUGGCCAAGUCGUAGGCAGCUCCUCUUCCCUGGGUUUAUGCUACACAUGCCAAUGAAUGCCAGAGGCCACCAGCUGCUUUCCAGGGAACACAGAGACAAGAGCAAACAGGCUCCAUGCCACAGUACCUAAGCAGGGCAGGUAAGCUGGGGUUCAUCAGCCAUGAGUGCAGGUGGUAAGGCAAGUCCACAGUGAUGAGGCAAGUACACCAUGCCUCGUGAUGAUGAGACAAGUAUAGAAGCCAGGAAGGCAACCCACUGCUCAGGGUCAGGCACAGUCCCAUGAUCAGCACAGUGAUGAAAUAGUUUUGAGGUCAGUCUGGGAACUCAUUCCACAGGUCACAGUCCAGGUCAGCGAAGUCCAUAGCUACACAUAGCUGUAACUGAGCUGAAGGCCCAGGGCUGAGUUUAAAUAGAAUUCCUGGUCUCAUGGGAAGAGGGUGUGGAGAAAGGCACCAGGUGAUGCCACUAAGGCCUGUUAGUGCACUCAAGGCCCUGACAACGCACUCUAGUUUCAGCAGGGUCAUCUCCCAUAAAUACAGAAAAUACUGCAGAGAAUACUUUCCCUCUAGAGGGCUGUAUAGUACAGACAGAAGGGAAGUGUCUGAUUACACCAAGCUCUAAUAGCCCUUAUUUCAGGGCUGCUACUAGUUCAAAAGUAUCAAGGAAUUAUUUAUAUGGGACGGUUAUGCUGGAAAGGUGAUACAGAUUAGGUAGUACAGGAAGGUUUGUUGAGAUCUGUAGGAUAGAUGCAGGUUGCAAAGAAAAGGCAAAAUGUACACGUUUGGUAAUUGGGUUUGUGUCAGAGUAGAUUGGCUCACCGAUACUCUGUGGCUGUUGCGUUCUCUUCAGAUGUCUGACUCUCUAUGAUGGAGUGCUCACUGAAAUAACAAUGUUUCCAAGGAACGCUACAGAGAACUGCAAUACAAAUGCGUGCAACUUUGUAUCUUCCCAGUUGCGGCUGUAGAAGGGUGCAGGCCAGCCGUCCGUAGAGCUCAAUGAUGGAGUAGAAGUAGUAGUAAGAAGGAGAAGCUGUCUAAAUUAAGUAGAGUUGAGGUGGUUAGGUUUUAUUUUUUUUAAUCCUAGCUGGAAGUUUCUUCACAACCUUCAGCUCGCUUGAAAAAUUGUCAGCAAAUUCUGGUUUUGUGCCAAUCAAGACAAAAGACUAUGACCUGUAAUAACAUUCCAAUCUAGUUUGGCACCUCACGCCAGUGCUGUAGUUCAAUCUUGUGACAUCUUAUGUCUCCUAUUACCUACAUUUUAAAGUCAAGAUAAGUGACUUGUUGUAAUAGGAACUUAUUUAAAACACAUCCACUCUUUUUGAGGCUUCCUUUGCUUUCUUGACAGAAAUAUCUGACAGUCUUUUAGUAAGGGCUGUCUACUUUUCGUAACAAUAAAGAACAGCAUUUACUACAGUAAUUUAAAUUGGUAGACAUAAAACCGUCAAUUUCCAAUAGGAUUUAUAGUAUCUCCGAUAAUUUGAAUGUUUAGUUUGGACAGUACUUGUUGGUGAUUUGUAUGGCAAAUAUACAUAUCUCUUGUGGUUUAACAAUAUUCUUGCUCUUGCUUGAAAAUCCUCACUUGUAGGUCUACAUUUAGGACAGAUUUUAAGCACUUGGAAACAGAGACAUUGAAAUGAAUAAUACCAAACAGUGACACUUGGUGGCUAGUUAUGUAACAUGCACAUUCUUAGCCAUUAGAAUACAUGAAAUGAAGAGUGAAUCUCAGCUUUUCUAUCAUAUUAAGUAGCUCAACAAAUACAAUUUAUGGAAAUAUGCGCUUCCCUACUAUAAUGCUACAAUGGGAUGAUAAUAGCGAGGUGACAGUCUUUAGCUACAGCAAAUGAGAAUAAGCUCAAAUGCAGCAGCCACAGAUGCAGAAGUGAAGGAAAAGAGCUUCUUACCUACAGAAGGCCUCAGGUAGGCAGGGAUCCCUAGCAAAAGAUACCUUCUCCUCCACUUCUAACCCUUAAAUAAGGUCUGUGAAGGGUGGAUCCUGACUCCACCCCUUCCAAUCACUCAAGUACAUUGCAUGCACCUGAGCUCCUGUGUUGACCCUGCCUUCCCACCAGGUGCUCUAUCACUGGUUCAGGCCAUGACUUAGCAUUUCCACUACACCUACCAUCUUUCAAAAGCUUCAGAAACAUCAAGUAAGCCUCUUGACAUCCUGUGGAGCAAAAGCAUAUUUGAGUGUUUCAGAUGCAAAAAUUAACUAAUCUAUUACCAAAAUGCAUGCAGUUGGUAAUUACAGAAUACAAAGUGAUGUAUUCUGUAAAGAUUCUGUCACUCUUGAUACCUACUGUAUUUCUUGGGCCACAUGUCCCUUCACGUCCUCUCAGAAUUCCUCUGGUAUAUAUAUUCCACUGCCUUCUCAAUCAAGCUCUCGUUAUAUUGGAAGUUCUUAAUAUUUUCAUUAAAAAAAAAAAAAAACACUUGUUCUCUGUUUAUCCUCAAGAUAUAGCCAGUUUAGAAGCUAUUGUAAUAAAAAAAACAUAUACUGAGCAUAACUGAACACCUGAAAUCAUAGAAUAUGAAGAAAAAUACACAUUAUUCUAAUGUAAACUCAUUGGACUGACUGAAAAUUUUCAUCAAUACCCUUGCUGGUCUUGCACAGGUAUGUGUCUCCUGAUUGCUCAAUAGACAGAACUGCAGGUCACUGGCACUCAGUGCUGUGUCUUGUGAUCACUGCUGCACCCCCAUGGCCUGACGGUUUGUUAUAAAGUUACCAAAGAGACCUAUGUCAACUGGAAUAGUCACGCCAAUCUAUUGCUUACUCAUUUGGGGCACUGGCUUAGGAAAUGGGGGAACAGCUAAUUUCAUUAUUGCUUUCCAAUCUCACCAUUAAUUGCAUUUUACACGAGUGGCAACUACCAGAGAAAGGGAGCUAUGCAGACAACUUUACCACUGGCUUACCUCCUUAUUUCUAGCUGGGAAAAAACAUCCAGAGGAGAUUAAAAGAAGGGAAAAACAUAACCAAACCGAACAGAAACAGUAAAAAGAGGCAGUACUGAUGACUGAAGUGCUGACCAGGGUAGCCAACCAUUGAAGCUUCAGGUCUGUGCACUUGUAUGACUUUUGGUGAGGUCAGGAGGUUCUGUUAUCUUUGAGGCCCUUAUGAGGGGAAGGAAGAUACACAAUAUAGACUUAUGUCUGUUUUGCUGAUGAUACAAUUAACCAGCAUGACUAAUAUGCUACUAUGUCUAUGUAUCUCAGGUGUUUGAAGGAGUUUCUAUUGAUUUUUCUUUGAAAAUGCUUUACAGUGCUUUCCAGGUCAGUUAUACCCUCAGAGAAAUGGGAGCAAUGUAAUAAUUCUGAAUGUAAGAUUUUUUUACUAUGUAACUGAAGUAUCUAUUUUGUAAUAUACUUCAAAAGAGUUGUCUGUUGCAGGGGAUGAAAAGCAUUAUAAUGCAUUCAUUAUGAAAAACAUUAGGAAUUCUGGAUGUUUUAAGUAUUUCUGAAAAUUAAUAUUUGGUAUGGGAGUAUAUUCUUAAAAGGAGUCUUGUAUUUGGGCUUUUCUGAAAGGUAGAUAUAUUUCCACAUGGAAUAAGAGCCUUUCAAAUACUUUCAUAUUUGUUGGAAAUACUUUCUCCACUUGAGGCCCUUUCCUUUGAAUUUCUUUGAAUUUCUUUUCUCAUUUCUCCCUUGCAGUGGAAGAAAUGAGAAAGGAAAUUCACUUUGCAGGGUCAAGAAAGGAAGGCAAGAGAUGACCUUACAUGAUCACUCCUUAAAGAAAUAGAAAAGAUGAGUGCAGUGAGUGACAGACAAUAUCUGCUUCAGCAUUCCAUAAUUACCAAGCAAGGAGUGGAUGAAAAGGCAUGGAGAUAAUGCCACAGAAGAAAAGUCCUGAUAUCUCCCAAAAUUCCAUAAAAAACAAUGCUGGAAACAAAGUCAGGUGGAAAACUAAUUGUAUCUUUGGCUUCAUACAGAAGGAGAAAAAAAAUGGUUAAGAUCUUAAGGAAUGGUCUACCUCCAUCUUCUCAGGAAAAUAUCUCAGAAUCAGGAGCUGUCAUGAACAGCUACUUCAGCAGGAUGAAGUACUUAUGCUUCUCUAACAUUAUUUCUCAAUGGGACCUCAUUUUUUCAUUGUAGCCUUCCUUCCCAGCAUGUUCCACCUUCCUCAGUCAUUUUCCUAACAUUUGUCAAUCUCCUAUCUGCUCUUUUCUAUUUUGGGCAUUUUGUUUACUUUUCCACACAUAUCUGCACUUCUAUUUUGGUACUCUUAUCUUUUGUGUGUGUUUGUGUGUGUACAGUAGACGAGGUCACAAGAAGCAAUCACAAAGACUGAUUUUGUGGCAGGGUACUGCCAUAUAGUCUGUCUUGCACUCACAAACUGAUUAUGGUAAAAUACUUGAUCUCUCAAAAGACAAUAAUUUUCAAAACUAUGUUCCAUAUUACUUACUAUUAAGAAGCAUUACCAUCAGUAUUCAAGAUUAGCUGAAUAAAAUGUUAAUAACCUGUUCAUUCCCAUUACGUUUGACUGUUCUUUUCUUAACAUCUAUACACUGUUGGAAGUAAUUUACUAAAAUACAUGCUUUAGAAGUAGAGUAUUCAAAUAGUACUCUCUAGUUGAAGAAGAAAACUGUGUUCAAACCAAAAACACUAGGUGAAAACAUCAUAGCUAUCACCCGCUAUUAAGUGACACAGCAAUGCUCCAAACCCAACCACGGCUAAAUUGGGCAGGAUAUGUAAAGCAUAGCAUGAAUUGUUCUGUUGCUCACCACAGCAUGUUGAAUUCAGCAAGUUAGCAGGUAUGACUCAAAAAUAAGUUCAGGUUCCCUGUAAUUUUUAUACCAAAUUCUUUCUUCUUGUAAUACGUGCUUUAAUUUGUUUAAACGUCUUUAACAUAUUUUGAUUUAGAUUUUAAGAUUCUGUAUUGCAGAGCAAAAUCUAACUCCUGCAGCAGGUGGAUCAAGCCUCCUUUUACCAGAUUGUUCACUCUUCAGCAGCACCAGGGCAGUUACAACUAUUUGAAUUGGCAUUUCCAAUGAAACUUCAUUUUGUGCCUGAAUCAUUCUUUUAAGAUAAAAGUUACAAUGCACUCAUUUUGCUAGUCAUUCUCCUGUGUUUCCAUUUAAAAAGAUUUUUCCCUUGCUUUCUGAUGCAGUUCACUGACAGCUGGUCUGAUACACUUUCCUCUUGCUUAGGUGCUGUGUCAAAAGCAGCUCUGAUAGCCUGGAUCUUCAUUUCAGCAGAACACUGUAACACUACCUAUGUAUUAUGUAUCCAGCAGCCAGCAUUUACCACUCUUACUUCCCAGAAUGGAAUUAGGUCACAGAUGGGACACACUGGGAAUUCAUAAUGCAGAAUUCAGUCUCAGCCUUAAACCCCUGACUUUGUGUCAAAUAUCAUUAAAUAGGCUCUGCUCCAAAACUCUGUCAGGAAGCACUGUUUCACAUCUUUAUGUGUCUCAACCCCAACUUCUAGUUGGGAAGUAGAAUAGGAAACUUUACUUUCCACAUAAUGUAGUAAUACAAGUGAUUGGCAUGAACAGACCAACUGAAGCCAACUGUUGACUUUGAUGGAACUACUUGACCACUUGAACUCUAAUGGUAACUGAGGAAAAAUAGGCUGAGUGCUAUUAAAAAAAAUGAAGACAUAAUCCUGCUUAUUGAAACAAUGCAGCUUUUACCAUCCAGUUUCCAAGAAUAACCUAUCUGUAAGGAAGCAACUGCAAGAGAUGUUGCACAAAUGCAUACAGCUCUUAGCAAGUAAAAGGAGAUCAUCUGGGUUCAUUUCACUUUCAUGGAAAGUCCACAGUUUUUUGCUAUUAUUUUGUCAGAGGGAGUUUUGGUAUUAAAACAACCCCAAUCCUUUCUUUAGUAAGCUGUAAUGAAAUGCUUUUGUGACCUAGCAAAAAUAAUUUCAUGUGUUCAAACCGAUUUUCCAGUGAAUAACCUUCCUGUCUAAAAAUCAGGCUCUUUACAAGGACUAACUGACAUCCUUGUUAUCAGCCUGUAUGGAUUUAAUAUGCUGAGCAGAGAGGAGCAGCUGGGAAAAGAUUGGAGAGAAUGAGCUAUAUUCAGAUACUUGGGGAGUUGGGGAGUCCACUGGGGUAAAGCACUUUAGUAGAACAGCCUGCAAAGGAUGUCACUACUCACCCCACGUCAGUUCUCUGGAAAAAGAAACAGCUCUGGCUUUUGCGUCUGUUAGUCUGGCACCUUCAGCAAGUAAUUAAAUCACACUGUAGAUUUGUAUACAUACUUAGAUAAAUAAUAAAUGACAGCUAUCACACUGUCAUGCAAGCAUGCAUGCAUACCCAGGGCAGGAAAUCACAUACAGUAUUUCAUUUGUUGCCAAUUUAUCUCUAACGAAGUGAGGAAGAUGCCCUAGGGACUGGUGACUAACAAGGAGCAUUGUUUAUGCUACAAAUCCCAUCCGGUUAUUAGUCUUUGAAAAGUGUUUUGUUUAGCUUAUCAGUGCUUCAGCAGGAAUGCCAGGGGCAUUAUUUUUAUCUAAGUGUAUUUCUAUUCCAAUAUUACUGACUCCCACUCAACCUCUCCAUAAGAGGUUAUGUGUUACUUGAGGGCUGAAAAUUAGACACAUGCUUCAAUGCCUUACUGAAUCAGGGUGGUUAGCACUGCACAAAACCAAGGCCUUGACAGGUUUCCUUAUUAAUUUUGCUUCAGUAAAUUGGAGAACAUCUUUGUAGAAAUCAAGCCUUACUUAAGGACUACAGAGCAUGAGAAAGAAUAAAUACCUUGUGAAGUAUAUAUGCCCAUAAAUUAAAACUAUUUUAAUGAGUUAGAUCUGCUUAAUUUCUACACUUUGCUUGCUUUGUUGGAUGAUACUGUGUUACACAAUCCAAUUCUGCACUUCCGCAAUACUAAAGUAUCACAAGUGUCUGGCAAGUUGUGAGCCUCUUUCACAAUAGUACGACAGUUAAUCGUUUGUCCACACAAUUGAUAGGCUGCUAUUUUAUCAGGUUAUCAAAAUACCUGCAGCACGCCCUUGAUCAAGUUAAUAUUUAAAAAUAGUAAUGCAAUAUUUUUAUUACAUUCAAGUAUCUUUUUGAUCAUGCUAAAUAUCUUCUGAGUGGAAAACUUAUUUAGGGUUGCUUUUGUUUGUUUGUUUUCCUCAGGAGACCUCUUUUUUUUUUUUAAGCAGAUUUGCUUUAUUGAAGGGAACAAAAAAAC